This 305-nucleotide ribosomal RNA is filed under the name uncultured bacterium. RNAcentral's name for it is "bacterial SSU rRNA". It matches the Rfam family "Bacterial small subunit ribosomal RNA", at positions 336 to 658 of the family's 1533-position model. The record is from RNAcentral.
UUCCUACGGGGGGCAGCAGUGGGGGAUAUUGCACAAUGGGGGGAACCCUGAUGCAGCGACGCCGCGUGGGUGAAGAAGUAUUUCGGUAUAUAAACUUCUAUCAGCAGGGAAGAAAAUGACGGUACCUGACUAAGAAGCCCCGGCUAACUACGUGCCAGCAGCCGCGGUAAUACGUAGGGGGCAAGCGUUAUCCGGAUUUACUGGGUGUAAAGGGAGCGUAGGCGGUGCAGCAAGUCAGAAGUGAAAGCCCGGGGCUCAACUCCGGGACUGCUUUUGAAACUGUUGAACUAGAUUGCAGGAGAGGG